Molecule: RNA transcript, 3031 nt
Organism: Populus nigra (black poplar)
Lineage: Eukaryota; Viridiplantae; Streptophyta; Magnoliopsida; Malpighiales; Salicaceae
Gene name: putative chloride channel-like protein CLC-g
Exons: 8
Source: RefSeq, a predicted model, not a curated record
CACCAUUUUCUUCCUUUUUUUUUUUUUUUCCUUCUUUGAUGGCAAGAGAUGUUAUUAAAAAUCAGACCACCCAUGAGAACUCCCAUAACAACCACACCAGCCUAUCAUUUUCCACCAGGCCUUAGCCCCUCACCAAAGCCAGAGUUCCAUCCUGUCACAUACACAGACACCUUCACUUCCUCACAAUUCAGAACACUCAACUCUCUCUCCUCCUCUCUCUCUCUCUCUUUCUCUCUCUCUCUCUCUCUCGUUGUAUGUGCCAAUGAAUAACUGAAAAAACCAGUUAUAAAACCUUAAAAAGAAAAGAAAAGAAAAGAGAAAACACCAUACCAUGUCAACAAAUUCUAUCAAUGGGGAAGCAGACACAGACCAAGAGUCUCUUAUAAUUCCUCUCCUGUCCCCUCGAAGAUCACUCAUUAACUCCACUUCUCAAGUUGCCAUCGUUGGAGCUAAUGUCUGCCCCAUUGAAAGUCUUGAUUAUGAGAUUGCUGAGAAUGAGUUCUUUAAACAAGAUUGGAGGAGUCGUGGAAAGAUGCAAAUAUUUCAGUAUGUGUUCAUGAAGUGGUCGCUUUGUUUCUUGAUCGGACUGAUUGUUAGCCUUAUUGGGUUUUUUAACAAUCUUGCUGUUGAAAAUAUUGCUGGCUUGAAGUUUGUGGUCACCUCCAAUAUGAUGCUGCCCAAAAGGUUUGGGAUGGCUUUUCUUGUGUUCUCAGUUUCUAAUUUGAUUCUUACCCUGUUUGCAUCCAUCAUCACGGCUUUUAUAGCACCAGCUGCUGCUGGUUCAGGUAUUCCAGAAGUUAAGGCUUACCUGAAUGGUGUGGAUGCACCUGGAAUUCUUUCCUUGCGAACUUUGGUUAUUAAGAUUAUUGGAAGCAUUUCUGCGGUGUCCUCGUCUCUUUUUGUUGGAAAGGCAGGGCCAAUGGUGCACACUGGAGCAUGUGUUGCAGCAUUGCUUGGUCAGGGUGGAUCCAAGAGAUUUAAAUUAACAUGGAGAUGGCUUCGUUUUUUCAAAAAUGACCGAGACCGAAGGGAUCUUGUAACAUGUGGAUCAGCUGCUGGAAUAGCUGCUGCCUUCCGUGCCCCAGUUGGAGGUGUGCUGUUUGCACUUGAAGAAAUGGCAUCUUGGUAUGUUUCUUACAUGAUAUUCUUCUGCAGGUGGAGAAGUGCCCUUCUUUGGAGAGCUUUCUUCACAACAGCAGUAGUUGCAAUAGUGCUUCGGGCUCUGAUUGACGUUUGUUUAAGUGAAAAAUGUGGGCUAUUUGGAAAAGGAGGGCUCAUAAUGUUUGAUGUGUAUUCAGCAAGUGUUACGUACCACCUCAUUGAUGUACCACCUGUGCUCACCCUUGGAGUUAUAGGAGGCAUAUUGGGAAGUUUGUAUAACUUCCUUCUAGACAAGGUUCUUCGAAUUUACAAUCUCAUCAAUGAGAAAGGCGUUGUUUACAAAAUUUUACUUGCUUGUGCAAUUUCCAUUUUCACAUCCUGUCUUCUUUUUGGACUACCAUGGCUUGCCUCUUGCCAACCCUGUCCGUCUGAUGCGUCGGAAGCUUGUCCAACAAUAGGCCGGUCUGGUAAUUUCAAGAAAUUUCAAUGUCCUCCUGGACAGUACAAUGAUCUGGCCAGCCUUAUAUUUAACACAAAUGAUGAUUCUGUUAAAAAUCUUUUCAGCCAGGACACCAACUCUGAGUUUCAAUAUUCGUCAAUUCUCAUAUUCUUUGUGACCUGCUUCUUUCUUAGUAUCUUUAGCUAUGGGAUUGUUGCCCCCGCGGGUUUAUUCAUACCAGUUAUCGUGACGGGUGCAUCUUAUGGACGUUUUGUUGGAAUGCUAGUUGGUUCACACUCAAAUCUUGAUCACGGCCUCUAUGCUGUCUUAGGUGCUGCUUCAUUUCUAGGCGGAUCUAUGAGGAUGACAGUUUCUCUGUGUGUCAUUAUUCUAGAAUUGACAAAUAAUCUGUUGCUGCUACCCUUGAUAAUGCUUGUUCUUCUUAUUUCCAAGACUGUGGCUGAUGCUUUCAAUGGUAAUAUUUAUGACCUUAUCAUGAAUGCAAAGGGUUUUCCUUACCUAGAAGCUCACACCGAGCCUUAUAUGAGGCAGUUGACAGUUGGUGAAGUAGUUAGGGGUCCACUUCAGAUCUUUCAGGGCAUUGAAAAGGUUGGCAAAAUAGUACAUGUUCUAAGAACUACGAGUCAUAAUGGAUUUCCCGUAAUUGAUGAGCCUCCGCUUUCUGAGUCUCCAGUUCUUUAUGGUCUAAUCCUCCGUGCUCAUCUAAUUGAAUUGCUAAAGAAGAAAGCUUUUGUGCCAACUCCAGUGCCAACAGGCACUGAUGCCUUCAAGCUGUUCUUUGCUGGUGAUUUUGCAAAGAGGGGCUCAGGCAAUGGAGACAAGAUAGAGGAUCUGCAAUUUACCGAAGAAGAGAUGGAGAUGUUUUUAGAUUUACAUCCAUUUACGAAUGCUUCACCUUAUACUGUUGCGGAGACAAUGUCACUGGCUAAGGCUCUCAUACUUUUCCGAGAAGUUGGUUUGAGGCAUUUACUGGUGAUACCCAAGAUAUCUGGUAGGUCCCCUGUUGUGGGUAUAUUGACUAGGCACGAUUUCAUGCCAGAGCAUAUACUUGGUCUGCAUCCUAUGCUGAUUAGAAGCAGGUGGAAAAGAUUAAGAAUCCAGGCACCUCGUUUAUUCAAACUCUUCUAGAGCGUUGGAGUCAAGCAGACGGAGCUCGCCCUUGAAAAUGAUAUUUGUUCCUUCUCUUAUUUGAGCUCCACAAUAUGUUUUCAAGAAAACACAAGGAAGGAGGACCAAAAGUUGAAAUUGAAGCCAGAAGCUAGUCAUCAUUCACCAGGCAGGCUAAAAAUCUAUCUGAAUAUCAGAGAUACUGUAUAGUUAGGGCAACGGAUGAUUAGGGAGAGAGAUUAUUCAUGUGAAAGUUCACCAUUAAUUUAUAGUUCUCUCUCACUAAACUCCCAGGACUCUCACUCAGCUUGCCACUACAAGCUGUUGCCAAGACAGCUCUCUACCUCUCUAUUCUUUCUACAA